RNAcentral lists this ribosomal RNA (428 nucleotides) under uncultured bacterium. Its description in RNAcentral is "bacterial SSU rRNA". It matches the Rfam family "Bacterial small subunit ribosomal RNA", at positions 917 to 1344 of the family's 1533-position model. The record is from RNAcentral.
GGGCCCGCACAAGCGGUGGAGUAUGUGGUUUAAUUCGAUGCAACGCGAAGAACCUUACCAGGGUUUGACAUCCUGCGAAUCUCUUGGAAACAGGAGAGUGCCUUCGGGAACGCAGUGACAGGUGGUGCAUGGCUGUCGUCAGCUCGUGUCGUGAGAUGUUGGGUUAAGUCCCGCAACGAGCGCAACCCUCGUCCUAUGUUGCCAGCACGUAAUGGUGGGGACUCGUAGGAGACUGCCGGGGUCAACUCGGAGGAAGGUGGGGACGACGUCAAGUCAUCAUGCCCCUUAUAUCCAGGGCUGCAAACAUGCUACAAUGGCCGGUACAAAGGGCAGCGAAACCGCGAGGUCAAGCGAAUCCCACAAAGCCGGUCUCAGUUCGGAUUGGAGUCUGCAACUCGACUCCAUGAAGCUGGAGUCGCUAGUAAUCC